Podarcis raffonei (Aeolian wall lizard) is the source of this 653-nucleotide non-coding RNA. The record is from the annotation of a RefSeq genome assembly. Lineage: Eukaryota; Metazoa; Chordata; Lepidosauria; Squamata; Lacertidae.
UGUGUGCAGGGGACAAAGAGGAAGCCAGCAGCAAACCCUGAUCCCCCAAACUGCUUUUAUCUGCCUCAUGUGCCUCACUGGGGAGGUCUCAUGUAAAUACCACCAGGAAGUUGGGAUUGGUUUCAGAUGAAAAGCCCUGAAUAUAAAAUCUUCACUUGCUUCCCAGCCCAGAGUCCCCUCUUUCCUGCAUCUCUUGCACAUUCAUUCAUCAACAUUAUGGAGCUCUUGUUGCUCUUGUUUCCCUUGGUGGCUUUUUCUAAAGGGGUCUUCUCAGACAUUCAACUUGUAUCAUUUGGGCCAGGAAUAGUGAGACCAGGAGAGAAUCUCAACCUGCUUUGUAAAGUCACAGGUUUCUCCAUCUCUACUCGGUACUAUUCGUGGAGUUGGAUCCGUCAAGCUCCUGGGAAAGGUCUGGAAUGGAUUGCAUGGAUAUACCCCUAUAAUGGAGAAACAAGAUAUGCCCCUUCUCUGAAGAGCCGAGCAAGCAUUUCUUCAGAUGCCUCAAAGAAUGAGUUCUCUCUCCAGCUGAACUCCUUGACAGCUGCAGACUCCGCUGUGUAUUUAUGUGCCCGAGAAGACACAGUGAGACAAAGCCUAUUGAGCCCUGUUCAAAAAGUAGAAGUCCUGCUUCUAUAAACAAAUACACUGUGAAA